CCCCUAGAUGUCCUGGGUCGCACGCGCGCUACACUGAUGCAUGCAACGAGUUUAUAACCUUGGCCUGAAAGGUCUGGGUAAUCUUUUGAACGUGCAUCGUGAUAGGGAUAGAUUAUUGCAAUUGUUAAUCUUGAACGAGGAAUUCCUAGUAAACGCGAGUCAUCAGCUCGCAUUGAUUACGUCCCUGCCCUUUGUACACACCGCCCGUCGCACCUACCGAUUGAAUGGUUCGGUGAAGAUCUCGGACUUCGAUAUUUAUUCUUUAUUGAGUUUAUAUUGUGGGAAGUUAUCUAAACCUCAUCAUUUAGAGGAAGGUGAAGUCGUAACA
RNAcentral lists this ribosomal RNA (328 nucleotides) under uncultured eukaryote. Its description in RNAcentral is "partial 18S ribosomal RNA". It matches the Rfam family "Eukaryotic small subunit ribosomal RNA", at positions 1470 to 1796 of the family's 1831-position model. The record is from RNAcentral.